GACGAACCGUGCGAACGUUGUUCGGAAUCACUGGGCUUAAAGGGCGCGUAGGCGGGCGACAAAGUCUGGGGUGAAAUCCUUCGGCUCAACCGGAGAAUUGCCUUGGAUACUGGUCGUCUUGAGGGAGGUAGGGGCAUGUGGAACUUCCGGUGGAGCGGUGAAAUGCGUUGAUAUCGGAAGGAACGCCGGUGGCGAAAGCGACGUGCUGGAUCUCUUCUGACGCUGAGGCGCGAAAGCUAGGGGAGCAAACGGG
Molecule: ribosomal RNA, 253 nt
Filed under: uncultured bacterium
Lineage: Bacteria
Description: partial 16S ribosomal RNA
Rfam family: Bacterial small subunit ribosomal RNA
Source: RNAcentral